RNAcentral lists this ribosomal RNA (266 nucleotides) under uncultured Planctomycetota bacterium. RNAcentral describes it as "uncultured planctomycete partial 16S ribosomal RNA". It matches the Rfam family "Bacterial small subunit ribosomal RNA", at positions 565 to 829 of the family's 1533-position model. Lineage: Bacteria; Pseudomonadati; Planctomycetota. The record is from RNAcentral.
GAGCACGUAGGUGGGUUUGUAAGUCAGAUGUGAAAGCCUUCUGUUCAAAGGAAGAACGGCAUCUGAAACUGCAGAUCUUGAGUGUAGGAGGGGAGAGUGGAACUUCUGGUGGAGCGGUGAAAUGCGUAGAUAUCGGAAGGAACGUCGGCGGCGAAAGCGACUCUCUGGCCUAUUACUGACACUGAGUGUGCGAAAGUUAGGGGAGCAAACGGGAUUAGAUACCCCGGUAGUCCUAACCGUAAACGAUGGGCACUAAGUAGAGGGGU